CCUACGGGAGGCUGCAGUAGGGAAUCUUCGGCAAUGGACGAAAGUCUGACCGAGCAACGCCGCGUGAGUGAAGAAGGUUUUCGGAUCGUAAAACUCUGUUGUUAGAGAAGAACAAGGGUGAGAGUAACUGUUCACCCCUUGACGGUAUCUAACCAGAAAGCCACGGCUAACUACGUGCCAGCAGCCGCGGUAAUACGUAGGUGGCAAGCGUUGUCCGGAUUUAUUGGGCGUAAAGCGAGCGCAGGCGGUUUCUUAAGUCUGAUGUGAAAGCCCCCGGCUCAACCGGGGAGGGUCAUUGGAAACUGGGAGACUUGAGUGCAGAAGAGGAGAGUGGAAUUCCAUGUGUAGCGGUGAAAUGCGUAGAUAUAUGGAGGAACACCAGUGGCGAAGGCGGCUCUCUGGUCUGUAACUGACGCUGAGGCUCGAAAGCGUGGGGAGCAAACAGGAUUAGAUACCCUAGUAGUC
Molecule: ribosomal RNA, 465 nt
Filed under: uncultured Enterococcus sp.
Lineage: Bacteria; Bacillati; Bacillota; Bacilli; Lactobacillales; Enterococcaceae
Description: bacterial SSU rRNA
Rfam family: Bacterial small subunit ribosomal RNA
Source: RNAcentral